This 542-nucleotide ribosomal RNA is filed under the name uncultured bacterium. Its description in RNAcentral is "partial 16S ribosomal RNA". It matches the Rfam family "Bacterial small subunit ribosomal RNA", at positions 355 to 885 of the family's 1533-position model. The record is from RNAcentral.
UGGGGAAUAUUGCACAAUGGGCGCAAGCCUGAUGCAGCCAUGCCGCGUGUGUGAAGAAGGCCUUCGGGUUGUAAAGCACUUUCAGCGAGGAGGAAGGUGGUGGACUUAAUACGUUCAUCAAUUGACGUUACUCGCAGAAGAAGCACCGGCUAACUCCGUGCCAGCAGCCGCGGUAAUACGGAGGGUGCAAGCGUUAAUCGGAAUUACUGGGCGUAAAGCGCACGCAGGCGGUUUGUUAAGUCAGAUGUGAAAUCCCCGGGCUCAACCUGGGAACUGCAUUUGAAACUGGCAAGCUAGAGUCUCGUAGAGGGGGGUAGAAUUCCAGGUGUAGCGGUGAAAUGCGUAGAGAUCUGGAGGAAUACCGGUGGCGAAGGCGGCCCCCUGGACGAAGACUGACGCUCAGGUGCGAAAAGCGUGGGGAGCAAACAGGAUUAGAUACCCCUGGUAGUCCACGCUGUAAAACGAUGUCGAUUUUGGAGGUUGUGCCCUUGAGGCGUGGCUUCCGGAGCUAACGCGUUAAAUCGACCGCCUGGGGAGUACGG